CUCUGUUUGAAGGUAUAAAGAGUAUAACCUGCUCACUGAUAAAAGUUUAAGAGCCGCAGUAUUUUGACUGUGCAAAGGUAGCAUAAUCGUUUGUUUUUUAAUUGGAAUCUUGUAUGAAUGGUUGGACAAGAGAAAAACUGUCUUUAUAAGAAAAAUUGAAUUUAACUUUUAGAUGAAAAGGUCUAAAUAAAUUAAAGGGACGAUAAGACCCUAUAAAGCUUAAUAUAAAAAGUUAGUUAAUUAAAUUUUAUUAAAAUAAAAAUGAAUUAAUUUAAUAUAUUUUGUUGGGGCGACAGAGGUAAAAUUAUUAUUAACUACUUAAAUAAGAUUCAAAUAUAAGUGUAAUUUUAAAAGAUCCUAGUUAAAGAUUUAAAGUUUAAGUUACUUUAGGGAUAACAGCGUUAUUUUUUUUGAGAGUACUUAUCGAGAAAAAAGUUUGCGACCUCGAUGUUGAAUUAAAAUAUCUUUAUAGUUGCAGAAGUUAUAAAAGAAGGUCUGUUCGACCUUUAAAUUUUUACAUGAUUUGAGUUCAGACCGGCGUGAG
RNAcentral lists this ribosomal RNA (544 nucleotides) under Xenograpsus testudinatus. RNAcentral's name for it is "partial large subunit ribosomal RNA". It matches the Rfam family "Bacterial large subunit ribosomal RNA", at positions 1829 to 2625 of the family's 2925-position model. Lineage: Eukaryota; Metazoa; Arthropoda; Malacostraca; Decapoda; Xenograpsidae. The record is from RNAcentral.